RNAcentral lists this ribosomal RNA (253 nucleotides) under uncultured bacterium. RNAcentral's name for it is "partial 16S ribosomal RNA". It matches the Rfam family "Bacterial small subunit ribosomal RNA", at positions 524 to 776 of the family's 1533-position model. The record is from RNAcentral.
GACAGAGGUCCCGAGCGUUAGGCGGAAUCACUGGGCUUAAAGCGUGUGUAGGCGGAUGCCUAAGUACCUUGUGAAGUCCCACGGCUCACCCGUGGAACUGCUUGGUAUACUGGGUGUCUUGAGCCACUUAGGGGCUACCGGAACAAAUGGUGGAGCGGUGAAAUGCGUAGAUAUCAUUUGGAACGCCAAUGGUGAAAACAGGUAGCUGGGAGUGUGCUGACGCUGAGACACGAAAGCCAGGGGAGCAAACGGG